GGACAACGCUGGCGGCGUGCUUAACACAUGCAAGUCGAACGAAGCACUUAAAGCGGAGACUUCGGUCAAAGCUUUUUGUGACUUAGUGGCGGACGGGUGAGUAACACGUGAGUAACCUGCCUCUUAGUGGGGGAUAACACACCGAAAGGUGUGCUAAUACCGCAUAAUGUAGUUUUACCGCAUGGUAAGAUUACCAAAGAUUUAUCGCUUGAAGAUGAGCUCGCGUCCGAUUAGAUAGUUGGUGAGGUAACGGCCCACCAAGUCGACGAUCGGUAGCCGGACUGAGAGGUUGAACGGCCACAUUGGGACUGAGACACGGCCCAGACUCCUACGGGAGGCAGCAGUGGGGAAUAUUGCACAAUGGGGGAAACCCUGAUGCAGCGACGCCGCGUGAGCGAAGAAGAUCUUCGGAUUGUAAAGCUCUGUCUUAGGGGACGAUAAUGACGGUACCCUGAGAGGAAGCCACGGCUAACUACGUG
RNAcentral lists this ribosomal RNA (479 nucleotides) under uncultured bacterium. RNAcentral's name for it is "bacterial SSU rRNA". It matches the Rfam family "Bacterial small subunit ribosomal RNA", at positions 32 to 507 of the family's 1533-position model. The record is from RNAcentral.